This 897-nucleotide small RNA is filed under the name uncultured fungus. RNAcentral's name for it is "eukaryotic LSU rRNA". The stretch from base 464 to 897 matches the Rfam family "Eukaryotic large subunit ribosomal RNA", at positions 1 to 429 of the family's 3401-position model. Lineage: Eukaryota; Fungi. The record is from RNAcentral.
UCCGUAGGUGAACCUGCGGAAGGAUCAUUAAUAGUGCCCUCUGAUGCAAAUCAUUGGGUUAGAUCUGCUCUCUUCGCAAGAAGAGGGUUUCCAUACACACCGUGAACUGUGGCUUCGGCCAUCACAAACUGUUAGUAAUGAAUGUAAUAUCAUAACAAAAACAAAACUUUUAACAACGGAUCUCUUGGCUCUCGCAUCGAUGAAGAACGCAGCGAAAUGCGAUAAGUAAUGUGAAUUGCAGAAUUCAGUGAUUCAUCGAAUCUUUGAACGCACCUUGCGCCCUUUGGUAUUCCGAAGGGCAUGCCUGUUUGAGUGUCAUGAAACCUCACCCCACUUGGGUUUUUGCCUGAGCGGUGGUGUAUUGGGUGUUGCCUUGCUAAAGGCUCGCCUUAAAGACAUAAGCACCUUGGAUGUAAUACGUUUCAUCCUUCUGGGUGGCUGAUAACCCCACAUAUUCAUGAUCUGGCCUCAAAUCAGGUAGGGCUACCCGCUGAACUUAAGCAUAUCAAUAAGCGGAGGAAAAGAAACUAACUAGGAUUCCCUUAGUAACGGCGAGUGAACCGGGAUGAGCUCAAAUUUAAAAUCUGGCGUCUUUCAGGCGUCCGAGUUGUAAUCUAUAGAGGCGUUUUCCGCGCCGGACCGCGUCCAAGUCUCUUGGAAUAGAGUAUCAAAGAGGGUGACAAUCCCGUACUUGACGCGACAACCGGUGCUCUGUGAUACGUUCUCAAUGAGUCGAGUUGUUUGGGAAUGCAGCUCUAAAUGGGUGGUAAAUUCCAUCUAAGGCUAAAUAUUGGCGAGAGACCGAUAGCGAACAAGUACCGUGAGGGAAAGAUGAAAAGCACUUUGGAAAGAGAGUUAAACAGCACGUGAAAUUGUUAAAAGGGAAACGCUUGAAGU